Harpegnathos saltator (Jerdon's jumping ant) is the source of this 119-nucleotide non-coding RNA. The record is from Rfam. Lineage: Eukaryota; Metazoa; Arthropoda; Insecta; Hymenoptera; Formicidae.
GUCAACGGUCAUAUCACGCUGAAAACACCAGUUCUCGUCCGAUCACUGCAGUUAAGCAGCGUUGGGCACGGUUAGUACUUGGAUGGGGGACCACUUGGGAACACCGUGUCCUGUUGGUA